CAGGAAGGUGUUGAGCAUGAGGUUUGGCUGUGAAACGAGUUGGCAUGAAAAUUCAGACCAGGAAGCCAUGCACUUUAUGCAACAGUCCUAUUAUUUGGCAUUCCAAUAUGACAUUAGAAAUGAGGGCUAUAAGAAUUUCAUAAGCCUCACAUCUAACACAACUAGAUUACAGGAAGAAAAGGGUUCAAGAAUGCAAUUAUGGGAAUAACAGAUAAUCCCAAUCUAACAUGAAAGAAUAGCACAGAAAUUCUAAGACCAAAUUAGACAUUUGACAUGAGGCUAUUACAAAGAGUUAACAACUUGACUCAUAUAUUUUCAGUAGUUUGACCUUCCAUGACAAGCAAGUAAUUAUUAUGCAUUAUCAAUAUGUAAGGCUCCUUUACAUGAUAAUCUUAGUUACAUCAAACUCGACU
RNAcentral lists this unclassified non-coding RNA (413 nucleotides) under Hevea brasiliensis (rubber tree). The record is from RNAcentral. Lineage: Eukaryota; Viridiplantae; Streptophyta; Magnoliopsida; Malpighiales; Euphorbiaceae.